RNAcentral lists this transfer-messenger RNA (165 nucleotides) under Actinomycetota bacterium. RNAcentral's name for it is "Actinobacteria bacterium partial transfer-messenger RNA". It matches the Rfam family "transfer-messenger RNA", at positions 1 to 195 of the family's 374-position model. Rfam says of the family: Bacterial tmRNA, also known as 10Sa RNA or SsrA, is named for its dual tRNA and mRNA-like properties. Its role is to liberate the mRNA from a stalled ribosome. The record is from RNAcentral. Lineage: Bacteria; Bacillati; Actinomycetota.
GGGGGUGAUCGGUUUCGACGGACAGAUGGUUUGACCGGAGAAGCGUGUCGAGAAUCAAGGUGAUCUCGUUAAGAAUCCUUGACAAAAAAUAACUGCCAAAAAUACGCAGUCUGCUGAGUCCUACGCCCUCGCGGCGUAGUACAUAGAUCAGCCGUCAGCCCAAUG